Molecule: long non-coding RNA, 344 nt
Filed under: Glycine max (soybean)
Lineage: Eukaryota; Viridiplantae; Streptophyta; Magnoliopsida; Fabales; Fabaceae
Description: long non-coding RNA (GMAX_LNC000939)
Source: RNAcentral
CAGUCUUACUUUCAGAGUGUUCUCUAAAGCUGUUGUUACGUUUACAAAUUAAGGAGUCAGGGAAUUGUUAUUGCACUACUAUGUUCUAAAGGUGGACAAAACAGAUGGAAGAUUGAUGCUGGCAUUAUGCAUGAGCCACGAGGUAUAUGUUCUUCUCAUGUUUAAUUUCCAAGAUAACUCAACGUCUUAUAUAAGCAUUUUUAUGCCAGGAUGAAUUGUCUGAAGAGCAUGUCGUUUCUGGGUGAUUCUAGAAUUCAUUACAACUAGAAAAGCCAGAGAAACUAGCCUGCAUGUCUAUAUAAUUAAGCACUUACAUGUCCAUGUAUUUUUCAAUAACUACUUGC